UACGAGGGGUGCAAGCGUUAUUCGGAUUAAUUGGGCGUAAAGGGUGUGCAGACGGUUUGUUAAGUCACUUGUUAAAUUCUUCGGCCUAACUGAAGGUGUGCGAGUGAUACUGACGGACUAGAGGGUGGAAGAGAGAAGUGGAAUUCUCGGAGUAGCGGUAAAAUGCGUAGAUCUCGAGAGGAACACCGAUGGCGAAGGCAGCUUCUUGGUCCAUUCCUGACGUUCAUACACGAAAGCGUGGGGAGCAAACAGG
This 253-nucleotide ribosomal RNA is filed under the name uncultured bacterium. Its description in RNAcentral is "partial 16S ribosomal RNA". It matches the Rfam family "Bacterial small subunit ribosomal RNA", at positions 524 to 776 of the family's 1533-position model. The record is from RNAcentral.